RNAcentral lists this ribosomal RNA (374 nucleotides) under uncultured bacterium. RNAcentral describes it as "bacterial SSU rRNA". It matches the Rfam family "Bacterial small subunit ribosomal RNA", at positions 30 to 415 of the family's 1533-position model. The record is from RNAcentral.
AUUGAACGCUGGCGGCAGGCUUAACACAUGCAAGUCGAGCGGAGACUUCGGUCUUAGCGGCGAACGGGUGAGUAAUACCUAGGAAUCUGCCCAUUAGCGGGGGAUAACGUUUCGAAAGGGACGCUAAUACCGCAUACGCCCUACGGGGAAAGCAGGGGAUCUUCGGACCUUGCACUAAUGGAUGAGCCUAGGCCGGAUUAGCUAGUUGGUAGGGUAAAGGCCUACCAAGGCGACGAUCUGUAGCUGGUCUGAGAGGAUGGCCAGCCACACUGGAACCUGAGACACGGUCCAGACUCCUACGGGAGGCAGCAGUGGGGAAUAUUGGACAAUGGGGGCAACCCUGAUCCAGCCAUGCCCGCGUGUGUGAAGAAGGG